UUUUGCGUAGCUCUGGGCCCGGGGCGUUCGGGGCAGUCUGGGGGCUGGGGGACAGCCGUGCGCCCUCUCCAGGACUUUCCAUCGGGUCCCGGUCCUGGGACCCAGCUCGAAUGCAAAGCGGAGGCCAGCACGCGGGCUGCAAACGGGCGCCCCGGCACCCCGAACUCGCUCCCCGCCUUUUAGGCAGCCGCCCUCCGGGGACCCCCCGGCUCGCCCCUGCCGCUCUGCCCCGCUCGGCCUCCCGCGGUCGGCCGGCCGGGAGGGGAGCUGUGCGCGGCGGCGCUGUGCAGACUUGCUCGGAAAGAUUCCUGGGUUCAGACCUGUGAAUCGCCCCAGGGUCACCCUCUAAUUAAUGAUGACGUUCUCGCCCUCUCCCCAGCUGCAAACCUGCCUCCCAGAAACGAAAUCUGCCCGCUCUGACAGCUCGGUUGAAGGUGAUUGAUGACUGUCUGGAGACCACAGUACGCAUCAUAUAAUAUCUGCUGCGUAAUUGCUUUAAUUUACAGAUGAAAAUACGAGCUCUCCGAUCGCGCUGAACCACAGCCGGCCACGUCCGAGCUGCUUGCGAAGGAAAAUCAUCGGAAAUAAUGAAUAGCCGCCCCAUGCAAAUUAUUCAGACAGUUUAAGCGUCUGUAGCCGGGAGAGAUAUAUAAAGAACACGAGUCAAAUGACAUUAA
This 677-nucleotide long non-coding RNA is filed under the name Lynx pardinus (Iberian lynx). The record is from RNAcentral. Lineage: Eukaryota; Metazoa; Chordata; Mammalia; Carnivora; Felidae.